This 276-nucleotide unclassified non-coding RNA is filed under the name Hevea brasiliensis (rubber tree). Lineage: Eukaryota; Viridiplantae; Streptophyta; Magnoliopsida; Malpighiales; Euphorbiaceae. The record is from RNAcentral.
AGCAAAAGUGAAGUGACAUAUGGGUCCAGCAAUUUAGGACACUUAAGGCAAGGCAACUUUAACAGGGCAUUUGCUUUAACCGCUUAAGCACAUGCCUCUUUUGAAGUGCAAGGCGCAAGAGCAUGCCCCUUUAAAAUUCAUUUCUUUCUUCUAUAUUUGUGAUGGGUAUUUUGGCUUUGCUCUUUAGUUUAAAAAGGUAAUGUUAAAAAGCCCAUGAUAUUCAACAUUGCACAAAAUAUUAUUAAAAAAAUAAAUACGUUAGGCUGCUAGAAUUUG